Non-coding RNA from Podarcis lilfordi (Lilford's wall lizard), 72 nucleotides. The record is from the annotation of a GenBank genome assembly. NCBI's taxonomy places the organism in Eukaryota, Metazoa, Chordata, Lepidosauria, Squamata, Lacertidae.
GCCUAGGAGCUCAGUUAGUACAGCAUGAGAUUCUUAAGCUCAGGGUUGUGGGUUCGAGUCUCACCUUGGGCA